AUUGAACGCUGGCGGCAGGCCUAACACAUGCAAGUCGAACGAGUGGCGGACGGGUGAGUAAUGUCUGGGAAACUGCCUGAUGGAGGGGGCUAACUACUGGAAACGGUAGAUAAUACCGCAUACCAUCGGAUGUGCCCCGAUGGGAUUAGCGAGUAGGUGGGGUAACGGCUCACAUAGGCUACGAUCCCUAGCUGGUCUGAGAGGGUGACCAGCCACACUGGAACGGAGACACGGUCCAGACUCCUGCGGGAGGCAGCAGUAGGGAAGAUUGCACAAUGGGCGCAAGCCGGACGCAGCCAUGCCGCGUGAAUGAAGAAGGCCUUCGGGUUGUAAAAUACUUUCGGCGGGGAAGCGUUACCCACAGAAGAAGCACCGGCUAACUCCGUGCCAGCAGCCGCGGUAAUAC
Molecule: ribosomal RNA, 406 nt
Filed under: uncultured bacterium
Lineage: Bacteria
Description: partial 16S ribosomal RNA
Rfam family: Bacterial small subunit ribosomal RNA
Source: RNAcentral